AGAGUUUGAUCAUGGCUCAGAUUGAACGCUGGCGGCAGGCCUAACACAUGCAAGUCGAGCGGAAACGAGUUAUCUGAACCUUCGGGGGACGAUAACGGCGUCGAGCGGCGGACGGGUGAGCAAUGCCUAGGAAAUUGCCCUGAUGUGGGGGAUAACCAUUGGAAACGAUGGCUAAUACCGCAUAACGCCUACGGGCCAAAGAGGGGGACCUUCGGGCCUCUCGCGUCAGGAUAUGCCUAGGUGGGAUUAGCUAGUUGGUGAGGUAAUGGCUCACCAAGGCGACGAUCCCUAGCUGGUCUGAGAGGAUGAUCAGCCACACUGGAACUGAGACACGGUCCAGACUCCUACGGGAGGCAGCAGUGGGGAAUAUUGCACAAUGGGCGCAAGCCUGAUGCAGCCAUGCCGCGUGUGUGAAGAAGGCCUUCGGGUUGUAAAGCACUUUCAGUCGUGAGGAAGGUAGUGUAGUUAAUAGCUGCAUUAUUUGACGUUAGCGACAGAAGAAGCACCGGCUAACUCCGUGCCAGCAGCCGCGGUAAU
This 537-nucleotide ribosomal RNA is filed under the name uncultured bacterium. Its description in RNAcentral is "bacterial SSU rRNA". It matches the Rfam family "Bacterial small subunit ribosomal RNA", at positions 8 to 524 of the family's 1533-position model. The record is from RNAcentral.